RNAcentral lists this ribosomal RNA (406 nucleotides) under uncultured bacterium. RNAcentral describes it as "partial 16S ribosomal RNA". It matches the Rfam family "Bacterial small subunit ribosomal RNA", at positions 29 to 526 of the family's 1533-position model. The record is from RNAcentral.
AUUGAACGCUGGCGGCAUGCCUAACACAUGCAAGUCGAACGAGUGGCGGACGGGUGAGUAAUGUCUGGGAAACUGCCUGAUGGAGGGGUAUAACUACUGGAAACGGUAGCUAAUACCGCAUACCAUCGGAUGUGCCCAGAUGGGAUUAGCUGGUUGGUGGGGUAAAGGCUCACCUAGGGGAGGAUCCCUAGCUGGUCUGAGAGGAUGACCAGAAAGACUGGAACUGAGACACGGGCGAGAGUACUACGGGAGGCAGCAGAGGGGAAUAUUGCAGAAAGGGCGAAAGCCAGAUGGAGCCAUGCCGGGUGUAUGAAGAAGGCCAUCGGGUUGUAAAGUACUUUCAGCGGAGAGGCGUUACCCGAAGAAGAAGAACCGGCUAACUCCGUGCCAGCAGCCGCGGUAAUAC